GAGUUUUCUCUCACUUUUGUGAUUUUUUGUUUUGAUUAUAUACUCUUUUCUCACUCACAAUGCUUUUGUUCCUGUUCUAUACUUUUUCUACUCAUUUUUACUUUUGACUUUUUCUAGAUUUUUUUUUCGUACAUUUUUUUCUCACCUAUAAUUACUAUAUCACAUUAAUUUUUCCUUUUUCGGCUCUAAUAAUAAUUUUUUUAAACCAUCGUGAUGUAUCUACCUAAACCCUC
RNAcentral lists this long non-coding RNA (233 nucleotides) under Gossypium raimondii (Peruvian cotton). Its description in RNAcentral is "long non-coding RNA (GRAI_LNC008578)". The record is from RNAcentral. Lineage: Eukaryota; Viridiplantae; Streptophyta; Magnoliopsida; Malvales; Malvaceae.